UCCGGAGGGUGCGGUCGUUAUUCGGAAUUACUGGGCGUAAAGCGCGUGUAGGCGGUUUUGCAAGUCUGAUGUGAAAGCCCCGGGCUUAACCUGGGAAGAGCAUUGGAAACUGCAGGACUUGAGUUCCGGAGAGGAAGGGGGAAUUCCCGGUGUAGAGGUGAAAUUCGUAGAGAUCGGGAGGAAUACCAGUGGCGUAGGCGCCCUUCUGGACGGUUACUGACGCUGAGACGCGAAAGCGUGGGAAGAAAACAGG
RNAcentral lists this ribosomal RNA (253 nucleotides) under uncultured bacterium. Its description in RNAcentral is "partial 16S ribosomal RNA". It matches the Rfam family "Bacterial small subunit ribosomal RNA", at positions 524 to 776 of the family's 1533-position model. The record is from RNAcentral.